UAGGGAAUCUUCGGCAAUGGGGGCAACCCUGACCGAGCAACGCCGCGUGAGUGAAGAAGGUUUUCGGAUCGUAAAGCUCUGUUGUAAGUCAAGAACGAGUGUGAGAGUGGAAAGUUCACACUGUGACGGUAGCUUACCAGAAAGGGACGGCUAACUACGUGCCAGCAGCCGCGGUAAUACGUAGGUCCCGAGCGUUGUCCGGAUUUAUUGGGCGUAAAGCGAGCGCAGGCGGUUUGAUAAGUCUGAAGUUAAAGGCUGUGGCUCAACCAUAGUUCGCUUUGGAAACUGUCAAACUUGAGUGCAGAAGGGGAGAGUGGAAUUCCAUGUGUAGCGGUGAAAUGCGUAGAUAUAUGGAGGAACACCGGUGGCGAAAGCGGCUCUCUGGUCUGUAACUGACGCUGAGGCUCGAAAGCGUGGGGAGCGAACAGGAUUAGAUACCCUGGUAGUCCACGCCGUAAACGAUGAGUGCUAGGUGUUAGGUCCUUUCCGGGACUUAGUGCCGCAGCUAGCGCAUUAAGCACUCCGCCUGGGGAGUACGACCGCAAGGUUG
Molecule: ribosomal RNA, 550 nt
Filed under: uncultured bacterium
Lineage: Bacteria
Description: bacterial SSU rRNA
Rfam family: Bacterial small subunit ribosomal RNA
Source: RNAcentral